UACGUAGGGUGCGAGCGUUAAUCGGAAUUACUGGGCGUAAAGCGUGCGCAGGCGGUUUUGUAAGACAGGCGUGAAAUCCCCGGGCUUAACCUGGGAACUGCGUUUGUGACUGCAAGGCUAGAGUACGGCAGAGGGGGGUGGAAUUCCACGUGUAGCAGUGAAAUGCGUAGAGAUGUGGAGGAACACCAAUGGCGAAGGCAGCCCCCUGGGUCGAUACUGACGCUCAUGCACUAAAGCGUGGGUAGCAAACAGG
RNAcentral lists this ribosomal RNA (253 nucleotides) under uncultured bacterium. RNAcentral's name for it is "partial 16S ribosomal RNA". It matches the Rfam family "Bacterial small subunit ribosomal RNA", at positions 524 to 776 of the family's 1533-position model. The record is from RNAcentral.